Molecule: ribosomal RNA, 469 nt
Filed under: uncultured bacterium
Lineage: Bacteria
Description: bacterial SSU rRNA
Rfam family: Bacterial small subunit ribosomal RNA
Source: RNAcentral
GACGAACGCUGGCGGCGUGCCUAACACAUGCAAGUCGAACGGGGUGAUUCCUUCGGGGAUCACUUAGUGGCGAACGGGUGAGUAACGCGUGAGGAACCUGCCUUUCAGUGGGGGACAACAGUUGGAAACGACUGCUAAUACCGCAUAACAUGUACGGAUCGCAUGGUCUGUACAUCAAAGCUUUAUGUGCUGAAAGAUGGCCUCGCGUCUGAUUAGCUAGUUGGUGGGGUAACGGCCCACCAAGGCGACGAUCAGUAGCCGGUCUGAGAGGAUGAACGGCCACAUUGGGACUGAGAUACGGCCCAGACUCCUACGGGAGGCAGCAGUGGGGAAUAUUGGGCAAUGGGGGAAACCCUGACCCAGCAACGCCGCGUGAAGGAAGAAGGGCCCUUCGGGUUGUAAACUUCUUUUACCAGGGACGAAGAACGUGACGGUACCUGGAGAAAAAGACAACGGCGUAACUACGUAG